GCUGGGUGCAGUUGUGUACACCUGUAAUCCCAGCAACUUGGGAGGCUGAGAUGGGAGAAUCGCAAGUUCAAGGCUAAUCUGGGCAAGUUAGCAAGACCCUAUCUCAA
Molecule: small RNA, 107 nt
Filed under: Marmota monax (woodchuck)
Lineage: Eukaryota; Metazoa; Chordata; Mammalia; Rodentia; Sciuridae
Source: RNAcentral